GGGGGGAGGCCGGAUCCUGGGCUGUGUCCCGGCGCCCUGUGCCCCGGGGUCUGCACUGUUGCGUUCGCGCUCCCGCCCCGCAGCCCCCU
RNAcentral lists this microRNA precursor (89 nucleotides) under Canis lupus familiaris (dog). Its description in RNAcentral is "mir-8799 microRNA precursor family". It matches the Rfam family "mir-8799 microRNA precursor family". The record is from Rfam by way of RNAcentral. Lineage: Eukaryota; Metazoa; Chordata; Mammalia; Carnivora; Canidae. RNAcentral also lists the same sequence under 1 other name.